CAAGCGAACAAGUGCAUGUGGUGGAUGCCUUGGCGAUCACAGGCGAUGAAGGACGCGGUAGCCUGCGAAAAGCGGAGGGGAGCUGGCAAACGAGCUUUGAUCCUCCGAUAUCCGAAUGGGGAAACCCGGCCCGUAUGGGUCAUCCGUAACUGAAUACAUAGGUUACGUGAAGCGAACGCGGUGAACUGAAACAUCUAAGUAACCGCAGGAAAAGAAAUCAACCGAGAUUCCCAGAGUAGUGGCGAGCGAAAUGGGACCAGCCUGUACUCUUUAUCUUCAUUGUUAGUCGAAGGCUCUGGAAAGUGCCGCCAUAGCAGGUGAUAGCCCUGUAGACGAAAACAGCGGGGAAGAACUAGGUGUACGGAAAGUAGGGCGGGACACGUGAAAUCCUGUCUGAAGAUGGGGGGACCAUCCUCCAAGGCUAAAUACUCGUGAUCGACCGAUAGUGAACCAGUACCGUGAGGGAAAGGCGAAAAGAACCCCGGGAGGGGAGUGAAACAGAUCCUGAAACCGCAUGCAUACAAACAGUCGGAGCCUCGCAAGGGGUGACGGCGUACCUUUUGUAUAAUGGGUCAGCGACUUACAUUCAGUGGCAAGCUUAACCGAUUAGGGCAGGCGUAGCGAAAGCGAGUCCGAACAGGGCGAUUCAGUCGCUGGGUGUAGACCCGAAACCAGGUGAUCUAUCCAUGGCCAGGAUGAAGGUGCGGUAACACGUACUGGAGGUCCGAACCCACUAACGUUGAAAAGUUAGGGGAUGAGCUGUGGAUAGGGGUGAAAGGCUAAACAAACCUGGAAAUAGCUGGUUCUCUCCGAAAACUAUUUAGGUAGUGCCUCGUGUAUCACCUUCGGGGGUAGAGCACUGUCAUGGUUGUGGGGUCCAUUGCGGAUUACUACGCCAUAGCAAACUCCGAAUACCGAAGAGUGCAAUCACGGGAGACAGACAUCGGGUGCUAACGUCCGGUGUCAAGAGGGAAACAACCCAGACCGCCAGCUAAGGUCCCCAAAUAUUGCUAAGUGGGAAACGAAGUGGGAAGGCUAAAACAGUCAGGAGGUUGGCUUAGAAGCAGCCAUCCUUUAAAGAAAGCGUAAUAGCUCACUGAUCGAGUCGUCCUGCGCGGAAGAUGUAACGGGGCUAAGCAAUAUACCGAAGCUGCGGAUGCACAUUUAUGUGCAUGGUAGGAGAGCGUUCCGUAAGCCUGCGAAGGUGCAUUGAAAAGUGUGCUGGAGGUAUCGGAAGUGCGAAUGCUGACAUGAGUAGCGAUAAAGGGGGUGAAAGGCCCCCUCGCCGUAAGCCCAAGGUUUCCUACGCAACGUUCAUCGGCGUAGGGUGAGUCGGCCCCUAAGGCGAGGCAGAAAUGCGUAGCUGAUGGGAAGCAGGUUAAUAUUCCUGCACCAUUGUUAAAUGCGAUGGGGGGACGGAUCGCGGAAGGUUGUCCGGGUGUUGGAAGUCCCGGUCCUUGCAUUGGAGAAGGCGCUCAGGCAAAUCCGGGCGCGGAAUUCAAGGGUGCGAGGCCAUUCACUUAGGUGAAGAAGCAAUCGGAAGUGGUUCCAAGAAAAGCCUCUAAGCUUCAGUUUAACAGGACCGUACCGCAAACCGACACAGGUGGGCGAGAUGAGUAUUCUAAGGCGCUUGAGAGAACUCGGGAGAAGGAACUCGGCAAAUUGGUACCGUAACUUCGGGAUAAGGUACGCCCCUGUAGCUUGAUGCCCCUGCGGGCAGAGGGUGAAGGGGUUGCAAUAAACUGGUGGCUGCGACUGUUUAAUAAAAACACAGCACUCUGCAAACACGAAAGUGGACGUAUAGGGUGUGACGCCUGCCCGGUGCCGGAAGAUUAAAUGAUGGGGUGCAAGCUCUUGAUUGAAGUCCCGGUAAACGGCGGCCGUAACUAUAACGGUCCUAAGGUAGCGAAAUUCCUUGUCGGGUAAGUUCCGACCUGCACGAAUGGCGUAACGAUGGCCACACUGUCUCCUCCCGAGACUCAGCGAAGUUGAAGUGUUUGUGAUGAUGCAAUCUCCCCGCGGCUAGACGGAAAGACCCCAUGAACCUUUACUGUAGCUUUGCAUUGGACUUUGAACCGAUCUGUGUAGGAUAGGUGGGAGGCUAUGAAGCGUGGACGCCAGUCUGCGUGGAGCCGUCCUUGAAAUACCACCCUGGUUUGUUUGAGGUUCUAACCUUGGUCCGUAAUCCGGAUCGGGGACAGUGCAUGGUAGGCAGUUUGACUGGGGCGGUCUCCUCCCAAAGUGUAACGGAGGAGUACGAAGGUACGCUAGGUACGGUCGGAAAUCGUGCUGAUAGUGCAAUGGCAUAAGCGUGCUUAACUGCGAGACCGACAAGUCGAGCAGGUGCGAAAGCAGGUCAUAGUGAUCCGGUGGUUCUGUAUGGAAGGGCCAUCGCUCAACGGAUAAAAGGUACUCUGGGGAUAACAGGCUGAUACCGCCCAAGAGUUCAUAUCGACGGCGGUGUUUGGCACCUCGAUGUCGGCUCAUCUCAUCCUGGGGCUGUAGCCGGUCCCAAGGGUAUGGCUGUUCGCCAUUUAAAGAGGUACGUGAGCUGGGUUUAAAACGUCGUGAGACAGUUUGGUCCCUAUCUGCCGUGGGCGCUGGAUAUUUGAAGGGGGCUGCUCCUAGUACGAGAGGACCGGAGUGGACGAACCUCUGGUGUACCGGUUGUCACGCCAGUGGCAUCGCCGGGUAGCUAUGUUCGGAAGAGAUAACCGCUGAAAGCAUCUAAGCGGGAAACUCGCCUUAAGAUGAGAUAUCCCCGGGGCUUCGAGCCCCUUGAAGGGUCGUUCAAGACCAGGACGUUGAUAGGUCAGGUGUGGAAGCGCAGUAAUGCGUUAAGCUAACUGAUACUAAUUGCCCGUAAGGCUUGAUCC
RNAcentral lists this ribosomal RNA (2876 nucleotides) under Paraburkholderia fungorum. Its description in RNAcentral is "bacterial LSU rRNA". It matches the Rfam family "Bacterial large subunit ribosomal RNA". The record is from RNAcentral. Lineage: Bacteria; Pseudomonadati; Pseudomonadota; Betaproteobacteria; Burkholderiales; Burkholderiaceae.